RNAcentral lists this long non-coding RNA (351 nucleotides) under Vulpes vulpes (red fox). Its description in RNAcentral is "lncRNA (ENSVVUG00000004867.1)". Lineage: Eukaryota; Metazoa; Chordata; Mammalia; Carnivora; Canidae. The record is from RNAcentral.
UCUGUGAAAGUCAUUUGACCGUUGGAUAUCACAUUUUCAUUAUCAACAAAAUGAGAUUAACACUGCUUUUGCUUCCUCACAGGACUGUUGAAAGACCCAAAUAUCGGAAGUAUACUUUGAAAAGCAUAAGAAAAAAAUGCAAACACAAGCAAUGAAGUACUCUUUCUACGAGCAGUUACAAGCACAGAAAAUGUUGCCUACCGUAGAAUCAAAGACUUCCUUGAAAUUAUAUUACAUUUAAGGUAAUUAAUAUCAUUAAUAUGAGAUGUAAUCUUUACAUGUUUUAGCUACUAAUAUUGAAAUAGAGAUGAUUUGGAUAUUUGCUGUGGAUUUUUUUUCUAAGGCAUUUAA